AACGCAAUCUGCCAUAUCCUGUCACCUUUUCUCAUUCUUCCUUUUGCCUCGAUAUAACUCAUCUCAUACCACAGGGAAGACGACGAUGUGUUGCCGAACCUGUGGAGUGUCAUCCUCGACGCUUCUACGUGUUCUGUCGAUAAUUGCAGGUUUUUCUGGAGCUCAUCGAUGACGGCGCGGCCACCGGCGUGGAUGCAGAAGUGGUCGAAGGCAAGCUUGAAGUCGGGAAUGUAAGGUUUCCAUUUAGGGUUGAAGAUUUUCCGGCCGAUGAGGGUGAGAAGGAAGAGAAGUUGUUCGGAUGCAGGGAGGACAAGAGGACCAAUGGUGGUGAUGUUUGAUUUAAGAGCUUCUCCUGCUAUGGCCAUCAGGUCUUUGGACAGUGAAAUACCCACUUUUCCUUCUCUGUCUUCUUCCUCGAACACGCAGCGGUAGGCUUUGUCGUCGGCUCCUUUGU
Molecule: long non-coding RNA, 454 nt
Filed under: Carica papaya (papaya)
Lineage: Eukaryota; Viridiplantae; Streptophyta; Magnoliopsida; Brassicales; Caricaceae
Description: long non-coding RNA (CPAP_LNC011241)
Source: RNAcentral